Molecule: small RNA, 946 nt
Filed under: Pan troglodytes (chimpanzee)
Lineage: Eukaryota; Metazoa; Chordata; Mammalia; Primates; Hominidae
Description: processed transcript
Source: RNAcentral
AGGUCAAGGCGAGUAGCAUGUGUGGGAGACUCACGUUGCGGGCGAAGUGGGAGAGAUAAAAGUGGGCCAACAGGCAGUGGAAAGACGACAUUCAUCAGUGAGUAUGCCCUGGAUUUGUGUUCCCAGGGGGUGAACACACUGUGGGGUAGCUUCGAGAUCAGCAAUGUGAGACUAGCCCGGGUCAUGCUGACACAGUUUGCCGAGGGGCGGCUGGAAGAUCAACUGGACAAAUAUGAUCACUGGGCUGACCGCUUUGAGGACCUGCCCCUCUAUUUCAUGACUUUCCAUGGACAGCAAAGCAUCAGGACUGUAAUAGAUACAAUGCAACAUGCAGUCUACGUCUAUGACAUUUGUCAUGUGAUCAUCGACAACCUGCAGUUCAUGAUGGGUCACGAGCAGCUGUCCACAGACAGGAUUGCAGCUCAAGACUACAUCAUCGGGGUCUUUCGGAAGUUUGCAACAGACAAUAACUGCCAUGUGACACUGGUCAUUCACCCCCGGAAAGAGGAUGAUGACAAGGAACUGCAGACAGCGUCCAUUUUUGGCUCAGCCAAAGCAAGCCAGGAAGCAGACAAUGUUCUGAUCCUGCAGGACAGGAAGCUGGUAACCGGGCCAGGGAAACGGUAUCUGCAGGUGUCCAAGAACCGCUUUGAUGGAGAUGUAGGUGUCUUCCCGCUUGAGUUCAACAAGAACUCCCUCACCUUCUCCAUUCCACCAAAGAACAAGGCCCGGCUCAAGAAGAUCAAGGAUGACACUGGACCAGUGGCCAAAAAGCCCUCUUCUGGCAAAAAGGGGGCUACGACACAGAACUCUGAGAUUUGCUCAGGCCAGGCCCCCACUCCUGACCAGCCAGACACCUCCAAGCGUUCAAAGUGAAGGCCGUGCAGAGCUGGUCACUGAAAUGAGCCUGAUAGGACAGGCUGGAGCAUAAAACUCUGCGAGGGCU